Molecule: ribosomal RNA, 492 nt
Filed under: uncultured bacterium
Lineage: Bacteria
Description: partial 16S ribosomal RNA
Rfam family: Bacterial small subunit ribosomal RNA
Source: RNAcentral
AGUGAACGCUGGCGGUAGGCCUAACACAUGCAAGUCGAACGGCAGCACAGUAAGAGCUUGCUCUUACGGGUGGCGAGUGGCGGACGGGUGAGGAAUACAUCGGAAUCUACUUUUUCGUGGGGGAUAACGUAGGGAAACUUACGCUAAUACCGCAUACGACCUACGGGUGAAAGUAGGGGAUCUUCGGACCUUGCGCGAUUGAAUGAGCCGAUGUCGGAUUAGCUAGUUGGCGGGGUAAAGGCCCACCAAGGCGACGAUCCGUAGCUGGUCUGAGAGGAUGAUCAGCCACACUGGAACUGAGACACGGUCCAGACUCCUACGGGAGGCAGCAGUGGGGAAUAUUGGACAAUGGGCGCAAGCCUGAUACAGCCAUACCGCGUGGGUGAAGAAGGCCUUCGGGUUGUAAAGCCCUUUUGUUGGGAAAGAAAAGCAGCAGGUUAAUACCCCGCUGUUCUGACGGUACCCAAAGAAUAAGCACCGGCUAACUUCGUG